CCUACGGGUGGCAGCAGUGGGGAAUAUUGCACAAUGGGGGAAACCCUGAUGCAGCGACGCCGCGUGAGUGAAGAAGUAAUUCGUUACGUAAAGCUCUAUCAGCAGGGAAGAAAUACUGACCUUACGGUCAGCAGACGGUACCUGAGUAAGAAGCACCGGCUAACUACGUGCCAGCAGCCGCGGUAAUACGUAGGGGGCAAGCGUUAUCCGGAUUUACUGGGUGUAAAGGGAGGGUAGACGGUGCGCCAAGUCGGGAGUGAAAUGCCGCAGCUUAACUGCGGAACUGCUUUUGAAACUGGCGAACUAGAGUGCGGGAGGGGUGAGCAGAAUUCCUAGUGUAGCGGUGAAAUGCGUAGAGAUUAGGAGGAACACCGGUGGCGAAGGCGGCUUACUGGACCAUGACUGACGUUGAGGCUCGAAAGCGUGGGGAGCAAACAGGAUUAGAUACCCUAGUAGUC
RNAcentral lists this ribosomal RNA (458 nucleotides) under uncultured bacterium. Its description in RNAcentral is "partial 16S ribosomal RNA". It matches the Rfam family "Bacterial small subunit ribosomal RNA", at positions 338 to 795 of the family's 1533-position model. The record is from RNAcentral.